ACGGAGGGUGCGAGUGUUAUUCGGAUUUACUGGGCGUAAAGAGCACGUAGGCGGAUAGGCAAGUCAGAUGUGAAAGCCCGGAGCUUAACUCCGGAACUGCAUUUGAUACUGCUAAUCUUGAGUGUGGGAGAGGGGGAUGGAAUUUCUGGUGUAGAGGUGAAAUUCGUAGAGAUCAGAAGGAACACCAGAGGCGAAGGCGAUCUCCUGGACCAUAACUGACGCUGAGGUGCGAAAGCGUGGGGAGCAAACAG
RNAcentral lists this ribosomal RNA (251 nucleotides) under uncultured prokaryote. RNAcentral describes it as "partial 16S rRNA". It matches the Rfam family "Bacterial small subunit ribosomal RNA", at positions 525 to 775 of the family's 1533-position model. The record is from RNAcentral.